UACGGGGGAGCAAGCGUUGUUCGGAUUUACUGGGCGUAAAGGGCGCGUAGGCGGUCAGCACAAGUCAGUUGUGAAAUCUCCGGGCUUAACUCGGAAAGGUCAACUGAUACUGUGCGACUAGAGUGCAGAAGGGGCAACUGGAAUUCUUGGUGUAGCGGUGAAAUGCGUAGAUAUCAAGAGGAACACCUGCGGCGAAGGCGGGUUGCUGGGCUGACACUGACGCUGAAGCGCGAAAGCCAGGGGAGCGAACGGG
This 253-nucleotide ribosomal RNA is filed under the name uncultured prokaryote. Its description in RNAcentral is "partial 16S ribosomal RNA". It matches the Rfam family "Bacterial small subunit ribosomal RNA", at positions 524 to 776 of the family's 1533-position model. The record is from RNAcentral.